GACGAACGCUGGCGGCGUGCCUAAUACAUGCAAGUAGAACGCUGAAGGAGGAGCUUGCUUCUCUGGAUGAGUUGCGAACGGGUGAGUAACGCGUAGGUAACCUGCCUGGUAGCGGGGGAUAACUAUUGGAAACGAUAGCUAAUACCGCAUAAGAGUAGAUGUCGCAUGACAUUUGCUUAAAAGGUGCAAUUGCAUCACUACCAGAUGGACCUGCGUUGUAUUAGCUAGUUGGUGAGGUAACGGCUCACCAAGGCAACGAUACAUAGCCGACCUGAGAGGGUGGUCGGCCACCCUGGGACUGAGACACGGCCCAGACUCCUACGGGAGGGAGCAGUAGGGAAUCUUCGGCAAUGGACGGAAGUCUGACCGAGCAACGCCGCGUGAGUGAAGAAGGGUUUCGGAUCGUAAAGCUCUGUUGUAAGAGAAGAACGAGUGUGAGAGUGGAAAGUUCACACUGUGACGGUAUCUUAUCAGAAAGGGACGGCUAACUACGUG
This 495-nucleotide ribosomal RNA is filed under the name uncultured bacterium. Its description in RNAcentral is "partial 16S ribosomal RNA". It matches the Rfam family "Bacterial small subunit ribosomal RNA", at positions 28 to 507 of the family's 1533-position model. The record is from RNAcentral.